AAGUCGUAACAAGGUUUCCGUAGGUGAACCUGCGGAAGGAUCAUUACAUUCAGUAGCCUAGCUACUUGUUUACACCCUUGUUUUUCGCGUACCUAUUGUUUCCUCGGCGGGCUUGCUCGCCGGUUGGACAAAACUAUAACCUUUUUUAAAUCUUCAAUCAGCGUCUGAAUUAUACAUAAUAAUUACAACUUUCAACAACGGAUCUCUUGGUUCUG
Molecule: unclassified non-coding RNA, 215 nt
Filed under: Phaeosphaeria podocarpi
Lineage: Eukaryota; Fungi; Ascomycota; Dothideomycetes; Pleosporales; Phaeosphaeriaceae
Also listed under: 1 other name
Description: partial internal transcribed spacer region
Rfam family: Eukaryotic small subunit ribosomal RNA (bases 1-46)
Source: RNAcentral